UGCAGUGAGCCACGCCACUGCACUCCAGCGUGGGUGACAAGAGCGAAACUCCGUUUCAAACAAACAAAAAAAAAGAACUUCCUGCUUCAAAACACUCCUUGCCAUCUUGUACUAUCUUCCUCAUUCAUACACAAAGUAAAAAUCCUUGGCUUGAUCUCCAACAUGCCACUGACUAGAAAGUGGAAAUCCCAAGAUCUGCAUGUUUAGGGAAAAACAGAGAGAUCUGACGUGACCUUUAGGUUAGGCUACAUGUCCCUACCUAGGUUUACUGGGGCACUAGACAUAUAUUUAGCUAGGACUCUCAGAUGCAAGUGAACAAAUCUAAUAGGAAGUACCUUAGGGGGUGGGGGAAAUUUUAUUGGCUCAUAUAAUCAAAUAAUGCAAAGGGCGGGAAUGUAGCUAUUCUUGGAGACUUACUAGAACUGAAUUAUUUACCAUUUGGACUUUAUAUCUUGCCUCUGCUUUCCUCAGCAAGACGGCCUCCUCUCAGACCAGCAUCCUCUAGAAGAUUGGAGUCAUGGGCACUGGCAUCUUUCCGCUUCAACUUCAGGUAAAAGAGUCUUUUUUCUUAAUUUCUAUUUGGAAAAUCUCAAAAGGAUCCUGAAUGACCACAGUUACAUAAUCUGCCCAUCCCUGGCAGAGCUGGGUAAAGAAAUAGUUCCCAAAAAGAAGUAGGGAAUGCUGUCAGCAGGAGAAGGGAGGGGUUCUAGAGACACAAAACAAAAAGUACACAUUACUGUAAUUAUCAAAUACUAGCCCAACUAACAACAAAGUCCUUCUGUAUUACUUUGUUCCCUCUGCUUAAAACCUUCGGUAACUUUAUGAAGGCAAUGUGACUGGGCUGAGUCAAGAUUUCUGGAAUUUCUGGAAUCCUGAAGUUAAAAUCAAUAUUUCACCUGCGCUUCUAGCGCAGGUCAAGAAAUGAAUAUAAACUUUAGAAUGUUUAGGAUGGUUUGGAAUGCUUUCGAUGCAUAUGCUUUAAAAAAAAUAACAAAAAGGUGACAAAAUCUGAUUAUCUAAUUAAUUAGGACUCUUUUUGUUGUUGUUGUCUAUUAAAAGAGAAAAAAUACAGACUGGCUGAAGCCAAAAUAAAGCUAUGGGCUCACAUAACUGAAAAUUCCAGGGAUAAUUUCACAUCAGACACAGUUAGGUCCUGGGGUUCAAAGAGUGUUCUCAGAAUCCAGUCUCCUUGUAGUCAUCUCUUGUCUUUGUGUUCCUCUGUCUUGGCUCCUUUCACAGAUAGAUUGUACCCCCACUCUGACUAUAUGGCUGCCUACAGCUCCAAGCUUCCACUCUAUCCUCUUACCAAUCCGCAGUGGAAAUAACUUGCAUCUUUUCCUAAAGUUCCAAUAAAAAUCCUAGAAUUGGGUCUAAUUGCUUUUGAUGAUCUUGGCUUGGGCUAUGUCUCUGGCGGGGUGGAGUCAACCCCACUGAAACCACAUGAACUCGGAGAAGGAACCUGCAAUUCCCUCUGUUGAGUCAGGGUGCUUUUAUUAGAGAAAGGGCAAGUGAUCCCUGGGAAAAUGAAAAUGAUCAAUCUCUGAUAUGCAGAUAAUUUGGGAACAAACAAACACACUAUAAUUUCC
Molecule: long non-coding RNA, 1586 nt
Filed under: Homo sapiens (human)
Lineage: Eukaryota; Metazoa; Chordata; Mammalia; Primates; Hominidae
Description: long non-coding RNA NONHSAT150136.1
Source: RNAcentral